RNAcentral lists this unclassified non-coding RNA (334 nucleotides) under soil metagenome. RNAcentral describes it as "partial contains 5.8S ribosomal RNA, internal transcribed spacer 2, and large subunit ribosomal RNA". The stretch from base 1 to 120 matches the Rfam family "5.8S ribosomal RNA", at positions 35 to 154 of the family's 154-position model. The record is from RNAcentral.
GAUGAAGAACGUAGCGAAAUGCGAUAAGUAAUGUGAAUUGCAGAAUUCAGUGAAUCAUCGAAUCUUUGAACGCACAUUGCGCCCCCCAGUAUUCUGGCGGGCAUGCCUGUUCGAGCGUCAUUUCAACCAUCAAGCCCUGCUUGUGUUGGGGUCCUGCGGCUGCCCGCAGGCCCUGAAAACCAGUGGCGGGCUCGCUAGUCACACCGAGCGCAGUAGCACAUCUCGCUCAGGGCGUGCGGCGGGCUCCAGCCGUUAAAGCACCCACCUUUCGCAAGGUCGACCUCGGAUCAGGUAGGAAUACCCGCUGAACUUAAGCAUAUCAAUAAGCGGAGGA